Molecule: ribosomal RNA, 361 nt
Filed under: uncultured bacterium
Lineage: Bacteria
Description: bacterial SSU rRNA
Rfam family: Bacterial small subunit ribosomal RNA
Source: RNAcentral
GAUAAACGCUGGCGGCGUGCCUAACACAUGCAAGUCGAACGCCCUUUUGCGCAAGUGAGAGGGAGUGGCGGACGGGUGAGUAGCACGUGGGUACCUACCCCAAGAUGAGGAAUACCACCGAGAAAUCGGUGACAAGACCGCAUACCUUCGGCCACGAAGAAAGCUUCUCCUCACGAGAGGCGUCUUGGGAUGGGCCUGCGCCUGAUUAGCUGGUUGGUGAGGUAACAGCNCACCAAGGCGACGAUCAGUAGCUGGUCUGAGAGGAUGAUCAGCCACACUGGGAUUGAGAACGGCCCAGACUCCUACGGGGGGCAGCAGUGAGGAAUUUUCGUCAAUGGGGGCGAACCCUGAACGAGCAACG